Molecule: small nucleolar RNA, 214 nt
Filed under: Crocodylus porosus (Australian saltwater crocodile)
Lineage: Eukaryota; Metazoa; Chordata; Crocodylia; Crocodylidae
Description: Small nucleolar RNA U3 (ENSCPRG00005000687.1)
Rfam family: Small nucleolar RNA U3
About the family: Small nucleolar RNAs (snoRNAs) are involved in the processing and modification of rRNA in the nucleolus. There are two main classes of snoRNAs: the box C/D class, and the box H/ACA class. U3 snoRNA is a member of the box C/D class.
Source: Rfam by way of RNAcentral
AAGGUUGUGCUUUCAGGGAUCAUUUCUGUAGUUGGUAACUAGAGAAGUGUGGCUGAAAGUGAUUGGUUUUACUAGCCACAGUGAAGAGUCAUAGUGUUCUCUUCUGAGCAUGAAGCAAGUUGGUAGUACUGCCUGUAUACAGUUGCUACUUUUCUCUUGAUGAUUGUUCCAUUCCUGUUGGGGAGCUAGAGGGAAAGGACACAUGCUGAGUGGU